GCCACAUGAUGACUGGUGUAGCAGCAGCAGGAGCUCCUGGGCUGUGAUGACUUGCUAUCUACCAUCCUUGUCUGAUGGCA
Molecule: small nucleolar RNA, 80 nt
Organism: Entelurus aequoreus (snake pipefish)
Lineage: Eukaryota; Metazoa; Chordata; Actinopteri; Syngnathiformes; Syngnathidae
Product: small nucleolar RNA SNORD83
Exons: 1
Source: RefSeq, a predicted model, not a curated record